GAUGAACGCUGGCGGCGUGCCUAAUACAUGCAAGUUGAGCGAAGCGGGGACGGGUGAGUAACACGUGGAUAACCUCCUAUAAGACUGGGAUAAAUUCGGGAAACCGGAGCUAAACCGGAUACUUACAGAUGGAUCCGCGCUGCAUUAGAUAGUUGGUAAGGUAACGGCUUACCAAGGCAACGAUGCAUAGCCGACCUGAGAGGGUAGUCAGCCACACUGGAACUGAGGCACGGUCCAGACUCCUACGGGAGGCCGCAGUAGGGAAUCUUCCGCAAUGGGCGGAAGCCUUACGGGGCAACGCCGCGUGAGUAAUAGAGGUCUGAGGAUCGUAAAACUCUAUUAUUAGGGAAGCAAUACCUAAUCAGAAAGCCGCGGCUGACUACGUGCCAGCAGCCGCGGUAGUAC
RNAcentral lists this ribosomal RNA (405 nucleotides) under uncultured bacterium. RNAcentral's name for it is "partial 16S ribosomal RNA". It matches the Rfam family "Bacterial small subunit ribosomal RNA", at positions 28 to 526 of the family's 1533-position model. The record is from RNAcentral.